This is a long non-coding RNA of Felis catus (domestic cat), 2641 nucleotides long. RefSeq lists it as uncharacterized. The record is from RefSeq and is a predicted model, not a curated record. NCBI's taxonomy places the organism in Eukaryota, Metazoa, Chordata, Mammalia, Carnivora, Felidae. The transcript is spliced from 3 exons.
CCCUGCGCCACCGCCCUCUGCUGGCCUGGCUGGAGCCUGCAGUACCUCCCCUGCUGGCCUUUCAAGGCCAUACAGCGCUCCCUGCGGACCCAGCUGACGCCUCCCUGCGGGUCGCUGGUCCACCACCCCGCUGUACAUACCCCUUUCCUAAACUGAGCCCUGACGCCAGCAACUCUCUGAGCCAUGCCCGCAUCUUGAACCAUGGACUUUGUUCCCUAGGGAUGGCCUCUUGGUUCAUCCGUACCUCUGACUGUCCCCCUCUACUGAGUCGCAGAGCGGCCAGAGUAGGAGUGGAUUUGCAGUGUCAGAGCAGGACAGACAGAGUAUUUAGGAACGUUGGACAGGAUAGACUACUGCAGAAGUCACUAACCCGUACCGGAGUGCGAGGUCAGUUGGCUACAGGUCGGUUGAGAGUUUCUGUUCGGAUCGUCGGUGCAGGGGCAAUUCAGGAUGUAAACAUUGCCUCAAUCCACGAAGCUGGAAUCUUUUUAUCUUGAAUCUUUAGGAUCAGGUUGUGGAGUUCAAAAGGAAAAUGCUUUUAAAAGAAUCUACAACCAUAUGGAGUUGCACAGGAGGAACACAGAAAGAUGUCAAAACACAUUACUCCCAUGGCCUUUGAGCCGUCUCUCAGCAGAUUCCCUCGAGGGAACUGACAGCACUUUGAAGGCCAUGGAAACUCCUUCAACCAAUGGAGAACUAAAGAGUGGAAACUGGAACACUGCAUCUGUCCCAGAAGGAUGAUCAUCACAGCACAUCGUAGGAGAGCCAGCCAGGGUCCAAACAGCUCCUGCCAGAGACUGUUCUGAACAUUGGAUAAGAUAUGGAUGGCCCCUGUGCCUGAGGAUCCCCUGAUUUAAUGGGAAGAGUGAGUGGUGAACAAAUGUUACAAUCCAGGGAGAAAGUGCUAUAGGAGCGGCAGCACAGAGCAUUAUGGGAGCAAGGGGAGCUCCUUACGGAGCCCAGGAGACCAUGGGGGACUUGCCAGAGGACAUGGCAUCAAAAGCAGAGCUAUGCCUCCGUUCUGGGCCAUGACUUCGGUUCUCGGGAAAGCUUAUUAACUUCUCUGGGACCUCAGUUUUCCCAUCUGAAAAGUGAGAAGGUCAAGAAAUUUAUAGGAUUUCUGGGAUGCUUAGAAUACAUAAUUCUGGUACAUCCGUCCAUGGCUCCUGGUGCAGGGUAAGUCCUCAGUAAAUAGGAGGGGCUGUUAUCGUUAUGACUAUGAAUGCCGUUUCAACAGAGGGGUUAGAGGGAAAGGGCCAAAGCGAGAGGCAGGGAACAACUCAAGCAGGUGACCUUCAAAGCACUCUGUGCAAAUAUCGAGUCCUUUUCUGAGCGCUGAGAAAGUGCCUAUUUGGAAAGGCAGCCAGCUGGAGUGACAUUUACUCCCGGUGUGACACAGGAGGCAGAUGAACGGUGAGUGGGGCGCAUUGUCUGGCAGUGAAGACGCAGACACAACACGAAGAAUAAGCCUUCCAGGGGCUGCCCAAAGGUCACCACACACGCCUUUUGAUUAGAAAAAGCAGUCCAUACAGACGGCAGAGCAUUUUGUACAGUGCUUCAAACAUGCAGAGAAUGUGCUCAGAAAAUAUCUGUCGAAAGCCUGGUUAGAGAGGGUGAGUAGGAAAAUCUAAAAAAAAAUGCACAGGUUUAGCUUUUCACCAAACACGCAAAUCCUCAUUUAUCAGCCUCUGUCACCACACCCAAAGCAAUGGGUUGGCUUUAUUAUGUGCCCGCUGUCCUCCCUUCCCUUUCUCGAAACGCCUCUUUCUUGUAAACUCAGCUCUGGUGCCCCUCAAUGGCUACAGGCCCCCAAACACCCAGAGAGCCUGUCCUCCUCCCUGGGAGAAGUGGCAUGUCUGUCCCAACCUGAGUUUCACUGUCAAAAAGACGUUAUUUCUGCUCAGGAGACCUACAGGUUUUGUCAAUGUGUGUUUCAUGUAAAUAUAUGCACAUUCACAUGCACAAAAAGGAGACUGUAUGCUACCAGGAAUAAAAGGAGAACACUCACUUUAAGAAAGUAAUAUUUAAAAUCACUAAGCACUUUGAGGAAAAAUCAGUUUAAAACCUUAAAGCACUUGACCAAAUUGUGUAGAAAAUGCAUUUUCUUAUAAACAUGGAAGGGGACAAUGUGGAAGUUUCAUCAGAAAAUGGGAAAUCCAGCCUGCUGCCGAGGUCAGCCCACACCGCACCCCACCCUGUCCCGAGCAGGAACCUGCCUACCCUCCUCCCUCCAGGCAGAGGACAAGCAGGUGGCAACACGUGCCCACGGGCCACUGCAGUGCCUGAUAGUUCACCCCUUACCACCCGCCACCAUCUUCCUCCAAUCUUUCUAGUAAGCUCCUUGCAAGAGGUGAGGGGGUCAGAGUGUGUGGAGAGGGCGUGGUAGCCCCUAGGCCAAGUGGAAGCCUUGAAUCUGCCAUCCCCAUUCAUUCCUCUGAGUCCAGCAUUUAAAGAUAACCAUUUGGCAGACAGCAAGGCCCUUCACCUGAGGCUCAACCAAAGAAAAGGUGAUCUGUCCCCCUACCAGGGGAGCAAAUAACAUUGCGCCUUCCAAAGUGAUGUUCCAGGGUGAUGUGACUUGAUGUGAUUUUUGCCUUAUGCCCUAACUUUAGAAAUAAACCUUGCAUAAGAUGCAACUCUA